RNAcentral lists this long non-coding RNA (1120 nucleotides) under Macaca fascicularis (crab-eating macaque). RNAcentral's name for it is "lncRNA (ENSMFAG00000051992.1)". Lineage: Eukaryota; Metazoa; Chordata; Mammalia; Primates; Cercopithecidae. The record is from RNAcentral.
CAAGCUCCAUGAGAGUAUACUUCACUGACAAAUGGUCUGACCAAAUAACUGUAGACAGAAAUGACACUUACAGGCUUAAAUCUGAAAAGCAGCUUGUGUUUCUUCUUGUCCUUUGGGUGCUCUGCCCUCUGCCUCCAAGCUUGGCCCUGAAUGUAACACAUGGGGUAAAGCCACAAUAGAUGACUCCCAGAAAAAAAAGAGCAUGAGAAGAAAUGUGUAUUUUUAUGCAUUGAGUUAGAGGCUAGCUUAUUAUGCAGCAUUGUUGUGGAAAUAGCUGACUGAUACAUGGACACGUCCAAGCCAAAGCUUGCAGGACCUCAGCCAGAGUUGAUAUACUCCUCUGAAGGUCUAUGCCUGUGGUCCUCCUGCCCACAGGAUUCAACAGAAGAAAGCACUAGCAUCAAAGAGGUGAAGACCACAGACCACCAAUAAACAACCUCCAAAUCAAGAAACGACAAUAGAAUGAAAAUAAACCCAUGCAAGUAAAGGUCAGUUCUGAAACACAUCCAUCGAACUCCAUAUAUUCAGAAAUACUUUUAAAACUAAAUACUAAUUUGUGUAAAUGCUUACAUAAAUUAAUCACAUGACAUAUGACUAAGAAAUUUGACUGCAUUUUGAGUCACCAAAAUGAUCAAGUUCUUUUAUUUAAGAAUCUAUAUAGAGUUGAGCUCCUCUAUGACAUGUCUGGUGGUUCAGUAAGUCAAUAACAACCAGCUAUUUAAUUCGUGAUGCCAGCAUCAAUAAGUUAACUCACAUUCAUUUUACUUCACCUUGGAAAAUUUACACCUUCUUCAGAACAUCGAGCCUUGUGAAAACCGUUUGCAAAAUGCCAAACAGCUCGGACAAUAAGGGAAUAAUUAACCAAUCAAUUUGAAUGAUGCAUAAGAGCAAACAUACACAAAUCAUUUUGUCCUUUUUAAGGCUUUACUUGUAUAGCUAAAGUUUAUUUAUCAUUGACAAACCACCAAAUGUCUUGGAUAACUGAAAGCUAUGUUAUAUAUCUUUUGGAAUACGUAAUUUUAAUUAGGCCAAGGCCCUGUUCCUGUGAUUAUCCUCAAAGAUGGGUUAAAGUUGUUUUAAGCCUAUACUAUCUGCAAAAAAAAAAAAAAAAAAAAAAAAA